GCCAGACAGCCCGCCCGCCCGCCGAGCUGCCCAUCCGGCCGAGCUGUACUUGGUGUAUGCCAACAUGCCGACAUGAUGAAAUUUGUUAGUACUUCAAGAUCAUAUAAUGGAAAAUUGUAUCCAAACUGAAGUAUAAACCAGCCUGGUUGCUGUAGCUACAGGGGAAGAACCAGUGCUGGUAAAAAUGUGGUCUCAUGUGGUUUUCCAUACCGGCUCUCAGCAAGGAUUUCAGAGAAAGGAAUACCGUCUCCAAAUCAUGAUGUGCUAAUAAGCUCCAGUUAGCUGCGCCUUUUUCCUCCCGGCAGUAGUCCUGCAAUCUGAAUCCAGGAGAUGCAGCUCUGAAUCCAAUAUUUCAGAAGAAUGAAGAUGUGUUUCAGGAUGAUACGGUUAGCUGUUGCUUGAUAGAUUGGCUAGUUUCUAUCACGUACAUUCGAUCAAAGAACUUUGUGACAUAACACUCACACGGAGGCAGCUUGAGAUGACAGAUUUAUUGAUGUUGUACGCACUUUACAGAGGUGAUUUAUGAAAAAGGAUUCCAGAUUUAUGAGAACAAUCUUAUUUGUUGCUCGCACAUAUUUGUGGGCCAAUGACAAUCGAUGAUUUACCCUAUUUACUGCAACUCAUGUACAUAUGUAUGGGUGUCGCUGUCGAGAGGCUGUUUAAGCUUACGCCAUGAACCCGAUUUGGAAAAAGAUGUUUUAUCAGCUAUCAAAUGGUAUUGACAUUUAUUAAAGUAUUUUCGGUGACAAUAUCUUAAUACCAAACUUAUUUACGUUUUUCCUUUACUAUGCUCUUUAUAAUAUUCAACCAAUCAAGCAAAUUAUGUACCAAAAUGUGCAAACUUUGAUCAUAACUAAAAUCUAAACGAGGUCAUCCCAGAAAGUGUUGUACUAUGCAGACAUACAGAGGUUAUUCUAAUUACCUAAAUAUCAACAUUCUGUUAAUUUUUAAACGAAAAGUAUUAUCAAAGUUUAUGUUUCGGUUCUUUUCCAUUUUUUUGUACAAACAUCAAUCCAUUUUAUUUGCUUUUAUGAAAUAUUCACUAAGCCGCGAAAAUUAGCUUUCGCCCGACACUCAUGCAAUGAAACUAACGCCCGGGAGGGUCGACUUUCGCGCUUAAAUACCACGUGACUAUACAAGGGGCGGGGCUAGUGGGUCGACUUAUUACGAGCACCACAUAAGUUAGAGUUCAUUUUGGCGGCCUACUAAAAAUGGUACCAGCAUUCUCGCCUGCUACGCUCGCUCCAUUUUCUGUAGAUUGUAAAAAUGAACUCUUACGUAUACAUGGCGAAUACUUCACACAAAAGCAGUAGGACUAGGAGUCGCCCUCAGGACAAAACGCUGUUUACGACAGUCAAUCGUUGGUCAAAUGUUUAGAUACAUACCAGGCGUUUAUGAGGAGUUAACAAUGCAUGGAAUUGCCACCUAUGGUUGUGUUGAUAGCUUCUCUGAGUAAAUAUUUCGACUGAAGGCUGGAUAUUCCAACAAUAGCCAAACGCUCAUAGCUUACAACAUUCUGCAGUUUACUUCACAUGUAUUUAAAAGGUGUGAUCAGACUGAUAAUAGAAAUUCCUUUGAAAAUACAGAUACAGAUACUGGCGAUUUAAAUAUUGGUGGUCCUUUUCAACAACUAAAACCUCCAGGACCAGGUAAAUAUCCAAACUCGGUAGCUGGAUCUAUGACUGACGUAUCUUCGCGUAUAUAAGCACUUUAGACCAAGGUCUGCACAUGAUUUUCAAGUCCAAAAUACUAAAAUCAUUAAAACUAAAGUGGUAGGGGUGUACGCUUCUGAAUACCAUACAAAUGUACUUUAAAUUUGUCACGAUUUGAUCAGUAGUUUAACUGGGUGAUAUAAACGUUAAAAGAGUAAACGAUACUUGUAUGAUAAAAAAGCGUUUGAUGCUGGUUAAUUUUAUUUACAUGCUGAUUGAAUUUAUGUACAGUUUGGUGACUAGAGGUAUCUUUUCUCGAAUAUCCCUUUAUGAUGUAGCUGAAUAGAUUAAAGACAUUUAUGUGUUAACAACUGUCUUGUGUAUAUACCCAUGACCCUAAACAUAGUUAUUGUGCAGUAUGUAUACGUAGAGCACAUACAGCAUCUUAAAAUACAUGACUUUGUGUAUUGAGAUGCAAACGUACAAACUAUUUUAUAAUUUGUCAUCAGUGUUGUUAUUGCCCACUAAGAUCGUAAAUCAUUUGUGAUAACUUGUUUGUUCGAUGACUUAUUUAUUUGUUUAUAUAAUAUUGA
Long non-coding RNA from Mya arenaria, 2245 nucleotides. RefSeq lists it as uncharacterized. The record is from RefSeq and is a predicted model, not a curated record. NCBI's taxonomy places the organism in Eukaryota, Metazoa, Mollusca, Bivalvia, Myida, Myidae. The transcript is spliced from 4 exons.